This is a long non-coding RNA of Osmerus eperlanus (European smelt), 245 nucleotides long. RefSeq lists it as uncharacterized. The record is from RefSeq and is a predicted model, not a curated record. NCBI's taxonomy places the organism in Eukaryota, Metazoa, Chordata, Actinopteri, Osmeriformes, Osmeridae. The transcript has 3 exons.
UCUCAGAACUCACAAAAACCGAGGGGUUCUGUUGUUUGUGAGGUCCAAGACACAUCCCAGUUGAAGUGUCGUCUCUUACAUCCAGUCUUCAGGAGAAAUGAUCAGGUCAAAUUCGACAUCAUUUGGCAACUGGCUGACAAGAAAUCACAAACACGAGAGGCUUACAUCAUUGCUAACUUAACCUGUGAGAAUGGAGGCACCCAAGUGUUGGAUGACAAGAAGUAUCACUUUGGGAUAAAGAAUGC